Molecule: long non-coding RNA, 3116 nt
Filed under: Nicotiana tabacum (common tobacco)
Lineage: Eukaryota; Viridiplantae; Streptophyta; Magnoliopsida; Solanales; Solanaceae
Description: long non-coding RNA (NTAB_LNC015839)
Source: RNAcentral
AAUUUUCUAGGCCAGCAAAAUUUUAUUCAAGUGAAGUUCAAUUUCAAACACGACUUCUAACUUUUAAAAAAAAAAAUCUUCAGCUUCAAAUAUUCUUUUUUUUUUUCAAUUAUAACUCAAUGUUCUUCAAAUGCAAACCUUAUGUUCUGGUCACAAAAUGUUCAGCAAUAACAUUCAAUCUGCAGGCAUAUCUGCAAUCAAGACAGGUCGGAUUUGUCACAGUAUUAAAUGGAGGAAAAUACAAAAAAUAAGUGGAACAUAUAAUUCAGUAAAGUAAGAAUUAGGUCCAUUGUCCAUACUGCUAUGCUUUAAUGUUCCCUGCUUUUCGUAUCUGCAAGGAAGGGAAAAAUAGAUAGAAAAAAAAUGGUGGGAGCACCAAGACAAGCUUUAAAGUCUUAAACAUAUGAACACGAAUCAGUUGUUGUUGCCCAUUGGUCUGACAUAUUGAUCCAUAAAAUCUUGACAACAUGGGCCAAGUAACUACUAAAUCAAUUGUUUCUGCUUUAAACUUUUGCAGAAGAAAUUAGGAACAUUAGAGAGUGGCCUCACAAUCACUUGUCAUUAUUCAUGUUAAAACCAUCUUAGUUUUUUUUGAAAAUCUAACUGGAUUCUUCCAACUCAAGCAUAAGGAGAAGAUAGAAGAUAUUAAAAAACUAUCUUAGGGAGAGUUCAUUCUAUAAACACUAUGAAUUUAAGACCAAAACUUGAUCUCUUCCAUUUGCAACAUAGCAUCACAUUCGAUAUUUUAAUUUUUAAUAAGAUUAGUUACUUCUAUAAUUCGAUCGCUUUUCGCUCAGCUUAUUUUUUACAGUUUUCUUAAAAAUCUUUCGCAAACAAGCUUUGGCAGUACGAUAAAGCAAAACCAGCUAUUUUUGUCUCUAUACUUUUUCUAUUUUCCGAGGUUGAACAAUUUGAAGUAUGAAAAGUUUAUAUAAUACACGAAUUGUCAAGUAAGUAAUUGACUCUCUAGAGAAGAUAUUAAAAAUUGAUUGAGCAGUAUAUUUAAGAUAUUGUCAUGUAUUAUGGGGGUUCAUCGAUAUAUCAUAUGGUAAUGUCAUUUCUAAUAAGUGGGAUCAUUCCAAACAUUUUGUGUAUUCUUUCCUUAAAUUAACUUUUCCUAUUGUAAAUAUGCAUGCUAUAAACUAGAGACAUUUGUAUGACUAAUUAUUUUAUUGCAAAAACACAAUUAAUGGUUUAAACACUUUACAUUUUUAAGCAAAGAUGUAAAGUACUCUUGUUUAAACAAAUUAAAUGUUUCCUAUGUAUCCUAUGUAUUUUACAUUUUUAACUCAUGCAAAGAUGUAAAAUACUCUUGAAACAUUUGAAGCAAAGAUGAAGAACUAAUGGUUUAAACAAACCUGAGUCACAUACAUCUCUUGUUUCUACUUGAUUUGGUCUUAAACCGUUGCUAAACGUAUCCAAAUCGUUGCUAUUUAUCUAUUUGAAGUAGUAACGUGUAAAUGCUACAAAAUGUUCCUAACCCGCCGCUAUAUUUUUUCUAUUAUUAGUAAGUAUAUAGAGAGGGGCUAUUGUACUCACCAGGGAACCUUUAACAUAUAUAUUUUAGGAAAAAUGUCAUUAUUACCCCUGUACUAUUGCAAAUAUUACACGUUUGUCCUCCGUUUCACUUUACAUCCAAAACCCACCUUACCAUUAACAAACUUAAUGGAAUUGCCCCUAACCUUAACGGAUGGCCAAUGUGGCAGCUGACCCACUUCAUUUUUUCCAUGUCAGCUGCCACGUCACUUAUUUACUCAAUUAAAAAAAAAUUAAAACAUAUCCCCCAACCCCCCCCCCCCCUCUUCCCGACUCCCUACUUCUUCUUCUUCCAUGAGUUCUUCAUCUUUGCUUCAAAUUUUUCAAUCCAAACUAGGCCACGUUUUUCAUCAAACUGACUCAAGUUGUAAGCAUAACUUCUCAACAUUAAUAUUCUCAACAAAUUCCAACUAACACUUUGCUUAAACUUCAGCAAAUUAGAAUAUUCAUUUUAUGUUCUCAAGCAUUCUUACAAAUCCUUCAAUGGUAAUUUUUUUCAAAUCUAUACACAUCAAUGUUAUUCUUCCCGUUUCAAGCUCCAAUUUUUAAUUUUUUUCACUCGAUUUCAGUAGGAAACAAGCAAGAAUUUCAGAUUCUUGAGUCUUUUUUUAACUUCAAAUUUCGGCAACCCAAAAAAUGGAGUAAAAAUUUGUUCUUCACUUAAAUCCACGAAAUUAAUGUUUGAUUCACGAUUUUAAGCUCCAAACAACAACACCCAUCUGAUUUCCUUCAUAUAUAAUCAACGGAUCGAAUUGUCAACUUCAAUUUUUCGACACCCAAAGAACACACCAUAGUGGGUUUCGAGAUUCUCACCACUAAAUUUCCAAACUUGAAACAGAGAUGAGUGAUAGCACCAGUGAAUCCAAACAACUACAUAAAAGAUCAGAAAAUUCUCCAACGGCGAACACAGGUGGCCUCAAAAUAUUAUAUUUUUUCAUAAUCAUUCAAUCAGAUAGAGACUUAGGAAAAACUAUACCCACAAUUUAUUUAAGCACAAGAUUAGAAUGCACGUCCAGACUACUAUAGCAACAUCACAAUUGAAAAUUUAGUAACAACAUUUUCAACCAUCAAAGACGUAGCAUCUGACAAACAAGAGCAGUCGAGAAAAUCAUGGGCCAGAGACGGAGAAACAGUGAAAGUGUUAGCGACACCAAAUCAUGGUCAAUCACAAGCAAUCGACGAAGCAUACCAAUUUCACAACAGAAAAAUCACAGUAGUAGGCUAACGAGCGACGUCCAAAACAACAAAGUCACCGGAAACUUAGCAGUCACUGGAGUUUGUAUAUUCUGGCCAGAUUAAGAGAAAAGAAAGGCCACCAAAUGACAUACCGGUCACAUCCGUUCAGAUCCGACCAGAUCCAUGGUUUCAGAUGGACCUUCAACGAGAUGGAGUUUCCAGUGAUAGAGGUUCCACCAUUUUGGCCGCUGCUUUUGUCGUAACUCAAGAAGAAUGAAAGAGAAGGGGAAUAGUUGAGUGGAGACUAGGCUGACUUGGCAGAUGACAUGGAAAAAAAGGAGUGAGUCAGCUGCCACAUUGGCCAUCCUUUAGGGUUAGGGGCAAUUCCAUCAAGUUUGUUAACG